GUGUGUGUUUAGCAUCGUGACAGCGACAGUGCUGGAGGAAGUGAGUGUUUUAUAACCCUGUAAUCAGGAGCUGCUGUCAGGAGAAGAAUCCCACUGUGACUCAUCGUUCUUUGCUCCGUCCGGUUCCUCCACCAGCACACAGAACCUGUGAGUGAGGAGGCGAGGUUCUAAUCGAGGGUCACAGGGGCACCUGGAUCCUAUUCCAGGGAGCAUUGGGCACCAGGCAGGGUACACCCUGGACAGGGUGCCAGUCCAUCGCAGGGCACACUCACACACCCAUUCAUACACUACGGACACUUUAGACACGCCAAUCAGCCUACCAUGCAUGUCUUUGGACUCCAGUGGAAACCAGAGUACCCGGAGGAAACCCCCGCAGCACGGGGAGAGCAUGCAAACUCCGCACACGGCCCCAGCGGGACUCGAACCCUGGACUCUGGAGGUGUGAGGCAAACAUGCUAACCACCGAGCCACCGUGCGCCCACAUAAUGUAAUAUAUAUUAUAAUCUAAUGAUUAUGCAAAUGAAGCCUCAUUAAUCUCAGUAGCUUCAGAUGAUCUAAUUAAAUGCAAACAUUUAGAUCAAGAGAUAAAAACAUAUAAAGCGUUUUAAUUUAUGACUAUAAUGCAAGUGGCUCAGCUGCAGGAUUAAAAUUCACACGUGAGCAGUGCCAAUGUUUUUUUUAAUGUUUUGUUUUCAACUCAUUUGCAUAUGUGAUUAAUUUGUGCUGGAUUUGUGCUCUGCCUCUGUCCCUAUUAUUGUAUUUCUUAAAACACAAACCAUUAAACAUUAGAAUUUAUCAAAUAUUCAAUAUUUUAUUAUCUUUUAUAUUGUUUAUUAACAGCUUUAUUGGACUGUUGUGCAUUCUUGGUAAGAUAAUGCCUCCAGUGAUUUUGCAGCUUGAUCCUCAUCUAAAGAUCGACUUUACUCAAAAUGGCAGCCAAGUGGAUUCAACCAAGGGGAAGU
Ictalurus punctatus (channel catfish) is the source of this 962-nucleotide long non-coding RNA. The record is from Ensembl. NCBI's taxonomy places the organism in Eukaryota, Metazoa, Chordata, Actinopteri, Siluriformes, Ictaluridae.